Molecule: long non-coding RNA, 2381 nt
Organism: Cottoperca gobio
Lineage: Eukaryota; Metazoa; Chordata; Actinopteri; Perciformes; Bovichtidae
Source: Ensembl
AUGUGUAAUCUGCAUGUGCUCAUGCAACAUGUUGUUUCAAUCUUUGUUGUUCUUCCAGGUGUGUGUGCUGCAGCAAAGGAUCGCCCCCUUAUGACGAGCUGUAGCAGGGCUUCGACAGCAAAGAAUCCUGGAGACAUGAAAGAGGUUUUCUGCGUCCUCUUGCUAUUGGUUGAGCCAUCGGUGACCAGCAGAGAGCACAACAGUCAGCACUUUAAUAUAAACUGUCCCCUUUGCAAGGACAGAACUUUAUAAAGGCAAUUAAAUGUGUAGUUGUGCCUUUUUUUUCUACUGUAAUUGAUAAAACAAUAAAAAAAACUAUGUAACUCCUGACUUGUCUUGUGCCCCUCAUAUCUAUGAGCAAAUAAAUGAAGCCUGGGUGUAGUAUAAAUAGUUGCAUUUCCACAUGUACAGAAUGUAUCGUUAACUUAUUGUAAGAAUUAUCACAUGUUGCUAAAUGCACUUUGCAUUACUCUGGUUUAAAGAUUUAAAAGCAGAAAGAUUUCUCUUCAGCCCAUCUCCUAAAGUGCCCUCGGAUCCAAAUUUAAAAUUUGUAGUGGUAUUUUUUCCCCCCACUAGUGAGCAGUACAUUUACAGUAGCACCUGUAAUGGGUCCCCCACUCCCAAGAUAUGGGCAAGAUGCCCAGACUAAAAUGAGGCAGCCAUGUUUGUAGUUUUGUCACUCUGAAAACGGUUGCAUUUACUACAGAACAAACUAAAUCAAUGGGGAAUUCUCUGGACGGAUCAUAUACCUGCCAUCGUUAACAUUAAAGAAUAACCGUUAAGGAAACAUUUCGUGCACCAGGUAUCAUUGACCUAAAGGCCCUGUCACACUGCCGUAUGCUGGUGCGUAUGAACAUUAGCAUACAAAACGUAUCCAACGAAUGGCCAACGUAACGUAUGUUCAAAACCAUUUUACGGCCUCAGUGUUCAACGUACACCGCGUAUUACCGAAAUUCCGUAUACUGCUAUAUCCGUGGAAGCAAAAAACGGGAGGGUUGACCCGUGUGUCUUAAACAGUCCCCCCCCCCCCUCUCCCCUAGAGUCCAGCGCUCCGUCCGUCAAGUGCAACAACUUGAUCUGGGAUGCCACGGUGGAGCCAGGAGCAGGCUGGUUAGUGGUCCUAGCUCUUAUCCCGACUCUUCUGGGCGGUCACUCUACCCUCAGUGGUGUUUGCUAUGGCUAGGUCAGGGGUCGGCAACCUUUACUAUCAAAAGAGCCAUUUUGCCACCUCUUCCACCAAAUAAGAUUUGUCUGGAACCGGAAAACACGACUCUUUUGAAGAGAAGGAGAAAGUACAGUGGCAUGUUUAAUAUAUGCUGGCCCAUUUGAGUCCUCCCCAUAAUUAUUGAAUUAAAAUGAAGUGAAUAUAAUAUAAAAUGCAUAAAACAAUAUAAAAAGGAAAUGAAUAAAAAAAGUAUCCCACUUUGAAAUAAAACAUAUAGCUGAAGCCUAAUAGCUUAAAAAGAGUAAACAUGAAGUACGCCAGUUUGUAUUUAAUUAUGUCCGUUUCAGAGUAUCAUCCACAUGGAAGUGAUGUUCGUUUCUUUGGCUUUUAAACGAUUCACAACAGCUUCAAGAAUGUCCCCACCGCCUGCCACAAUAUCACCUCGAACUCCAAGAUAAGAGGUGUUCCCCUUGAAAGAUUGUCCACUGUGCAACAAAAAAUAUAUACAAAUUUAGUUCCAUGUUUUCUUUUCUCAAGGCUACAGGGAGCCCCUACAGAGGGGUUAAAGAGCCGCAUGUGGCUCCUGAGCCGCGGGUUGCAGACCCCUGGGCUCCGUGAUCGUUUGAAGGUCUGCUGCUCUGUCAUAUGACAUAUGUUAAAUAAAAACUAAAAUUAUGCAAAGUACAAGGAAGCUACUGGACGCCACAUCUGCAUGCACUGCUGUCUCCAUGGUGUGGCAGAUUUGGGUCUCUUUGUGGUCUUUUUGCAUAUGUGGUCGUUUUUUGUCUUUUGCAUCACUUUGUAGUUUUGUGUAUUUUUUGUGGUCUCUGCGCCUCUGAUCGUUUUGCGUCACUUUGUGGUAGUUUUGCAUCUAUGUGGUAAUUGUACAUGUCUUUGUGGUAUUUAAAUAUUAACUGUCACUUCAUACAAAAGCCAGGAGAAUGUUCCCAGUUUCAUGCAUAUUCAGUAAUCCAUCCACGAGGUAGGGAUGAUUCAUUUUAAAGAAUGAGGAUUUGGGUGGAGUAUUGCUUUAAGGGAUCUAUGGUGGGAAAUUCUUCCGAUAACACCGUCUAAAAGAAGUGGGUGAAGGUUCACAGAAGGGAACAAAGUGAUCUCAUCACAUCAAAAACAAAUUGUACAAGCACCCAGCAACAACACUGGGCUGUGCUGUUCACAUGACACCAUACAUACCCUUUAAAAACACCCACUACACUGU